Molecule: ribosomal RNA, 370 nt
Filed under: Quadracus cudraniae
Lineage: Eukaryota; Metazoa; Arthropoda; Arachnida; Trombidiformes; Diptilomiopidae
Description: partial small subunit ribosomal RNA
Source: RNAcentral
CUUAUUUUUGUUAUAAGAGUGACGGGCGAUAUGUGCAUGUUAAAUUUCAUUUUCAAUUAAAAUUUCUUUUAUUAUCCCUAUUUAGUUUCAAGUCCUACUUCUCAUUAUUUAUUCUGUUAAUGUUCCGCUCUUGUAUCAUUGUAUUCCACGCUUGCUUUACUGUAGUCCUUGUAUUGAUUUGUUUUACGAUUUCUUUAUUUUAGAAAUUAAAAUUUUUGUUUAUUUUUUAAAACAAUGAUAUAAGUAAUUAAAAGUAAAGUAUAUUUUAUCGUGGGUUAUCGAUUACAAUGCAGAAUCCCCUGAAUUGAUUUCACACCGCCAUUCUAAUUAGAUUCUUCUUAUUUAGAUACUCUCUGUGGUUUCUUUAAAA